This is an RNA transcript of Fukomys damarensis (Damara mole-rat), 1485 nucleotides long. RefSeq lists it as uncharacterized. Lineage: Eukaryota; Metazoa; Chordata; Mammalia; Rodentia; Bathyergidae. The record is from RefSeq and is a predicted model, not a curated record. The transcript is spliced from 4 exons.
CCACCUAAGACCCCGUGGGGCUUUGGGCGACACCCAAGUACAACAGUAACAAUGUGCGAUGGAGUCGGCUGUGGAGACGGCAAAGGCUGUUGGCUCUGACAUCAGGGGAACCCCCACCCCCAUGGUAGGAGGUGAGCAAGGAGCAGCUACCGAGAGCAGCAAAGCCAAAUGCUCUCAACCUGUGUGUGAAGAGGCGAGACCGGCAAGGGGAGAACUGGGAACAGCCUGCCCUCGUGACUUUCCUGAGGGAAACUUCUGGGCAAAGAGCUAUGGGACAGUCACUGCGAAAGCUGAAGAAGCUACUCAGAGAUGGCAGAAGCCAGAUCACAGGCCCUUCCUGCAGUCGCGGGCUCCCCAGGCGAGGAGAGGCUUAUUACAGGGGCUGGACUGUAUGCGGCUGACUCUGAAAAGGGAUUGGCCGUCAUCUUUUGCAGCUGUAGGGCAUGCUGUCUUACGAUUGGCUGGAAACAUUGUUCCGCCGCCUUCUCUGUGCCCUGUGACACCACUUAUCGGUCUGGCCAUCAGCAGACUCUCAAGCCUCAGGUAAUUAAAGCUGCUUCUUGGCAGUCUCAGAAGCAUUAUAGCUCUGGGGCGCAGCCCGUGACAAAUUUCACUAAGGAGGAGGAAAAUUCAAACAGUAACUUGGAACUGGAGGCCCUGGUGCAGUAUCGGAGGUGAAUUUUCCCUUGGUGACUCAUUCAUUAUUUCCUGCACAUCCAUGGAAGCUCUCUCCUGGGAGAAGAGGCAGAGACGCAGGAAGAGAAGAACACAGUCUCACCGGUACUAGAAACGUGCGCUUCCCUUCCCGUUAUGGUUGGCCGUGAGCUAGAACACCGGCACGACUCUAGCCUGUACCGGAAGCAGUCUUUCUCUCCGGCGUCCAAAGCUGGAAACAAUACACUAUUUACUAUAAACUUCCCCGUGUGUGCACUUCUGACUCUGCUUUAACGUCUUUAUUUUUUGUAAAGCCUUUCUUCAUGUCUAGAUCACAGAAACAGGAGGGCCACACCCAACAGCCAAGGGAGGCAGGAAACAUCCACAAGACAGGCACAAAAACAUGCAGACGGACAGUGUGUGUGCAUUGCUCCAACUCUCCUGCACACAGAAGUCUGUUUCACACACAUCUGGCAGUGGGUGGGGAUGCUCUGUUCUCCUUGCCUGGCAAGAUGGCGUUUUAGGCACAGCAGGAGCUGAGCCCCACGGGACAGCAGAGGGCCAGUUACAGGAGUCACGAGCACUGCAAGCUGGAGGAGGGCUGUGAAAAGGGACUGGAGCAGGCUCGGCAAGGAUUGGCCGGCGGUUUGCUGCAACAGAACCCAUCCUACGACCAGAGCAGCUGUGCUGUAAUAAUCUCUUGGAAAGCAAGAGCGAAACUUCAUUCUGCUGCCGGUACAGUUACGCGCACAUCACAUGCUACAGGAAGCAACAGAAUCAAGCAAUAAAAUAAAGCUUUCUUAGAAGAACUCAAAAAUAACUUCCUGACUG